This 253-nucleotide ribosomal RNA is filed under the name uncultured bacterium. RNAcentral's name for it is "partial 16S ribosomal RNA". It matches the Rfam family "Bacterial small subunit ribosomal RNA", at positions 524 to 776 of the family's 1533-position model. The record is from RNAcentral.
UACAGAGGGGGCAAGCGUUGUUCGGAAUUACUGGGCGUAAAGGGCUCGUAGGCGGCCAACUAAGUCGGAUGUGAAAUCCCCAGGCUUAACCUGGGAACUGCAUCCGAUACUGGAUGGCUUGAAUCCGGGAGAGGGAUGCAGAAUUCCAGGUGUAGCGGUGAAAUGCGUAGAUAUCUGGAGGAAUACCGGUGGCGAAGGCGGCAUCCUGGACCGGCAUUGACGCUGAGGAGCGAAAGCUAGGGGAGCAAACGGG